RNAcentral lists this ribosomal RNA (501 nucleotides) under uncultured bacterium. RNAcentral's name for it is "partial 16S ribosomal RNA". It matches the Rfam family "Bacterial small subunit ribosomal RNA", at positions 30 to 523 of the family's 1533-position model. The record is from RNAcentral.
AUUGAACGCUGGCGGCAGGCUUAACACAUGCAAGUCGAGCGGAGAUGAGGUGCUUGCACCUUAUCUUAGCGGCGGACGGGUGAGUAAUGCUUAGGAAUCUGCCUAUUAGUGGGGGACAACAUUCCGAAAGGAAUGCUAAUACCGCAUACGUCCUACGGGAGAAAGCAGGGGAUCUUCGGACCUUGCGCUAAUAGAUGAGCCUAAGUCGGAUUAGCGAGUUGGUGGGGUAAAGGCCUACCAAGGCGAAGAUCUGUAGCGGGUUGGGAAGGAUGAUCCGCCACACAGUGAGUGAGAGACGGCCGAGAAUCCUACGGGAGGCAGCAGGGGGGAAUAUGGAGCAAUGGGGGGAACCCUGAUCUGGCCAGGCGGCGUGUGUGAAGAACGCCUUAUGGUUGUAAAGCACUUUAAGGGAGGAGGAGGCUCUUUCGGUUAAUACCCAAGAUGAGUGGACGUUACUCGCAGAAUAACCACCGGCUAACUCUGUGCCAGCAGCCGCCGUAA